UACAGAGGUCUCAAGCGUUGUUCGGAUUUAUUGGGCGUAAAGAGCGUGUAGGCGGCCAGGUAGGUCUGCUGUGAAAACUCGAGGCUUAACCUCGAGCUGUCGGCGGAAACCAUCUGGCUAGAGUCCGGAAGAGGAGAAUGGAAUUCCCGGUGUAGCGGUGAAAUGCGCAGAUAUCGGGAAGAACACCCGUGGCGAAGGCGGUUCUCUGGGACGGUACUGACGCUGAGACACGAAAGCGUGGGGAGCAAACAGG
This 253-nucleotide ribosomal RNA is filed under the name uncultured bacterium. Its description in RNAcentral is "partial 16S ribosomal RNA". It matches the Rfam family "Bacterial small subunit ribosomal RNA", at positions 524 to 776 of the family's 1533-position model. The record is from RNAcentral.